This is a long non-coding RNA of Hylaeus anthracinus, 2086 nucleotides long. RefSeq lists it as uncharacterized. The record is from RefSeq and is a predicted model, not a curated record. Lineage: Eukaryota; Metazoa; Arthropoda; Insecta; Hymenoptera; Colletidae. The transcript has 2 exons.
CUUGCGCGAGGUACACGGCCAUAUAGACGCUUGAAUUGUCUACUGCGCAGUCGCCCGUUAAAAGGUGUAGCGGUCGUUGUGUGUGCUUUGCUUACUUCCAUGCACUUGCUACAACCGGCCCCUCGGACAGCUGUAUAUUUUCUAUAGCCCACGAAUUUCAUGUUUUCGUCAACCCCCUCUCAUCUAUAUGCAACACCUUACGCUACGCAGAACCUGUUCAUUCGCUCAGCAUUCGGUUUUCCGUUAUAUCGAUAAUUUUUCAGUAUAAAUUUAGCGUCCCGUUACGAAAGCCAUAGCUAUUUUAGCGCGCAUAAGUUAAGUUAAGUUUGUAUAUUUUAUCUUUUACACAACGUUCGUUUGUUUCCCGCAUCAGUUUUCACAGCAUGCCUGGCUACAGAAGCCGUGACAUUGAACAGAAAGUAAGAAAACUGUAUUUGGACAAGGUCUAUGGUAAAUUAAAAGCGGAACGUAUUGGCGCAAUAUAUUAUUUAUGGCGUCACAAGGAUUUUACACAGGCGUGAUAUGCACACUAACAAACCACCAUGAUGGCACGUUUCGAGCGCCCGAUCUACGAUAUCGCAGGACUGUUUACAAGUUUAAGUAUCUUUCAACAAACUAUGUAUGAUUUUUUGCCACGAUGGCAUAACAAAACACGUGUAUUCCUUCUAGUUGUGUCAACACCACAUCGCAUCCUCGCGAGGAAAGUGACACUGGUUAGAUAAUUUCAACUUUGUAUCAGAUAAAAAGAAAUAACAAUGGGUACUAUUUCAGUACUCGAUUGGGUACUAUUUUAGCCAAAACAACUACAUACGUAUAAUUCUUCUGACUAUUAUAUUACCCAUCACUUUGAUUAUUCAGAAAAAAUUAAUAUAGGAUUCACUUUCCCAGUUGACGAUUAAAUAAAUGUCUUGUACGACUAUGUAAUGCGAUAAUUGAAAAUGUAUCGCUUUUCAUGCGAGGGUGCGAUACAACGGGGCAUAGAGGUGACGCACGUAAACAGACGUGCUUUCAGGUUUUAUUCAACGACCGUUGUCGCACUUCGCGAAUGUAAACAAUAGAUUGGACGGGUACUAACGUAUCCCCGAUACACGCCAUGAAGCAAAAUCGUAUCAGUGUCGCAUCACACCCACAGACAUAUCGAGUGUACGGUCUGUUUAUCAGUGCAUUAACCCUUGUCAAUUUUACGUUCGAUAAAUAUCGCGUUUUCGGUUGCUGUUCGUCUCACGCGAAUUUUUACUCGAUCGUAACAAAGUUUCACGCUUGAUUUUCGUGUUAUUCCCGUAAACAGUUUCCACAUAAAACGAUUCAGGACGACCGAUUAUGUUUCUAUAAGGAAAUUCGUAAACAAUGAAGAGUCGAGUCUUCGCUGUUUCUUGCACUUCACGCACAAAAGUUUUGCCACUCUUAAUACAAUCCCCCGUGUACAGUUUCCAUCGCGCUCGUAUUUCUCCCGUGUAAGCUGCUAGAGUGACACUGUAGAACGACGUGAGACAAGGAUGGCGAUAUCGAUUUCAGACGAUGUACGUUAAGCUCCAGCAGGUGGCACGGCCACCAAAGUCCUCGUCUUUAAAGCCACGGUGUUUUUAUCGAAAAAAUUACACGAGCUAAGCCGCCGUGGCGAGGAAUUUGCAGAGACACGGGAAACAGGGGAUGAAAACACACCCUCGAAACUGUCCUUGCUACGAGCGCGCACGCGCUGACCGAUUUAGGUCAUGUGUUACUUGACAGACGAACGCUAGGUUACAUUGCAGGGUUUUCCUUGAUAAAUUACGCGAAAAUCGAAAAUUGUUCACUUAACGAUUUUUUUUAGAGAAGACGUUAAAUCGAUAUAGGUCUUAUUUCGAGGUCUAAUGCGACUCGAGUGCUGCCAGUGGGUCGUGAAAUAGACUAGGUUUUCUAACGUUGACGAGGUCGGGGUAGCUACGCGGAUCCUUGGCCCCGAUGUUGGCAAUCUUUGAAUAAGUGGUACCAGUAGUGUAGCCAGAAGGGUUUGCAUAGGUGUCGAUAGCUUUUUAAGAUUUGUAUCGCAAGAAACGAGUGUUAUCUCGAUUGAUACAAUUUUUUGACAAUAAAUUUUAUAAUUUUA